UAGAAACUCAAAGGACUUGGCGGUGCUCCAUAUCGGCCUAGAGGAGCCUGUCCUAUAAUCGAUACUCCACGUUUCACCUUACCGCCCCUAGCCCCCCCAGCCUAUAUACCGCCGUCGUCAGCCUACCUUAUGAAAGAAUCAAAGUAGGCAAAACAGUUAACAACUAAAACGUCAGGUCAAGGUGUAGCAUAUGGGGCGGAAGAGAUGGGCUACACUUUCUCCAACAGAACAUACGAACAGCACUAUGAAAACCGUGCUCAAAGGCGGAUUUAGUAGUAAGACAAAAAAGAAAGUUUGCCUGAACCUCGCUCUGGAGCGCGCACACACCG
RNAcentral lists this ribosomal RNA (329 nucleotides) under Trachylepis quinquetaeniata (African five-lined skink). Its description in RNAcentral is "partial 12S ribosomal RNA". It matches the Rfam family "Bacterial small subunit ribosomal RNA", at positions 894 to 1392 of the family's 1533-position model. The record is from RNAcentral. Lineage: Eukaryota; Metazoa; Chordata; Lepidosauria; Squamata; Scincidae.